GAGAGAUGGUAAGGGGUUUAACUCAGCAGAUCCGCCGCGCUGUGCUUUGUGGAAACGUGGCUCGGUGAUUGAACCCCCCACCACGCCGUGGAGCUAGCGGGGUUCCGGCUAACGCGAGCAGAUCGCAGCGCGGAGCUCUCCGGAAAAUCAAAGGGAGGUGGUCUUUGUUUCUACAUUAAUGAACGUUGGUGUACUGAUGUCACGGUGUUGAAAGAGUUUUGCAGCCCUCUCCUAGAAACACUUUUCAUAAACUGCCGGCCGUUCUAUUCACCACGGGAGUUCUCCUCGAUCGUCAUGGCAGCUAUUUACAUUCCACCACACGCGCGUGCGAGUGAAGCCACGCAGAUGCUGGCUGACCAGGGCGAACCUCGCACACGAACUCUCCAGACUCUGGACCACUGCUACACCGUGAUUAAGGAUGCAUAUCACUCUGCGGCUCGUGCAGCUUUAGGACUCUCGGACCACUGUCUAGUUCAUCUGAUCCCGGCCUACAGGCAGAAACUAAAAACUUCUAAGCCUGUGGUGAGGACUGUGAGGAAGUGGACACUGGAGUCAAGGCAGGACCUCCAAACCUGUUUUGACAGCACCGAUUGGGGAGCUUUCGAAGCUGCAACUUCAGACUUGCAUGAACUCACUGACACUGUCACAUCAUACAUCAGUUUUUGUGAGAAUCUGUGUGUGCAGACUAAGACCUUCUGCACGUACAACAACGACAAACCUUGGUUUACACCGAACCUCAGGAGGCUGCGUAAAGUCAAGGAGGAGGCCUACAGGAGCGGCGACCGCGACCACGCUUAUUUCGCGUGUUUGUUACGCUAUGUUCAGCCGGGAUGCCAAAUGAAGUAUGGCGUGAUGUGCCUCGCAUAAAUUCGUUCGCCGGUGUUCACUUGCUUGUGCGAGUGUCUACCAUGACAUGUACUAGAGAGGAGGUGGGGCAUUACCGUAUUGACCCGAAUAUAAGACGACCCUGAUUAUAAGACAACCCCCUUCUUUUUCAAGACUCAAGUUUGAAAAAAUACUUUUUGAACACCAAAUUCAGUUUUUACACAGAAAAUAAUUACAGUACAUCUGAAACAAAUGAUUAUAACAAUAUAUUCUAGAGAAAAAGCAUGUUAUUUUGCCUCAUUCAAAUCAUGCAAAAACUGUCUAUCACAUCUGAACAUUUAAAAAUGUGUCACGACUCGUCCCCGGUUGUGUUAUUAGAUGUAGAGUCAUGGUUUCUGUCCGUCUGUGUACUCGCCCCUCCCUUCCUGUGUCAUGUACUAAUCCCAGUCACCUGCCUCUCGUUACCUGUCUCGUAUUUAAGCCCUGUCUGCAUGUCACUCCCUGUUGGAUCAUUGAUGUAUUUUUGGUUCCCGUCUUUGUCAAGUCGGUUAGCCAGUCUGUCGGUCGGUAAGGUAAAUUAUGUCAGUUUGCCGGCUCUGUUAGUUUUUUCCCCUUAUCCUCUCUUCCAACUACCUUUUCCCUUUAAUAAACCCGGGUCCAAGCUGCAUUUGGUCGCCCUGCUCCAUUCCGAUCCGUUACAAAAUGUAAACUAAAGUGCAAUCACAUUUGUGAAUGAAUGGCUUCUGGUUUUUGAAAUGUAUCACCUACAGUUUCUGUUGGGGAGCCUGAGGACUGUAUAGAGGCUUUGCAGUCACGUGAUUUUAUCACGUGAUUUUGUGUUAUGCCGGCAUCUUGCCGGGCAACCGGUCAGCUCGUUCCUACGUGUUCGUACAGAUUCAGUUUGAUUUCUGCGCUACAUUUUCACAGAUUUCAUCCGAAUUAUGGCUGAUUUGCUAUCCAAUGAAGUUGGGCAUUUGGAUGAAGAAUCCAAGAAACGUUACCGAGCAUUUGGAUGAAGAAUCCAAGAAACGUUACAGAGAGAAGUUGAAUUUUGUUGACACAACGGAUCUGUACCUUUUACCGAGAAGCAUGCUAAAAUCACCUGAGCAUUUUGCAACAGCCGACCUGCCUGAUCUCUCAUAUCCAGAUAUUUAUAAUUACCUUGUCGAUUCACCAUCUCCGUACACUGGAAAGGACCUUAAGGCAUAUAAGAGUCUGGAUGCCUACAAAUAUUUUACAGCAGGUUUUGUGCAUGAUGGGCUGAUAUGGCAGAUUCCAAACAAGAAUUGAUUUCUUCUCAUGACCAAGGUAAAACACUCUCAACGGAUGAAUGAUCCUCCCCUCAGACCUUGGGUAGCAAUAGCGAAAGAUGGUCAGAUCCUGUGCUGCCACUGUACCUGCAUGGCUGGAUUGGGUGAAACAUGCACACAUUCAGCAGCAUCCCUGUUCGUCCUGGAGACAUUAAUACGUAUGAAGACGGCCACUUCAUGCACAUCACUACCUUGUCAGUGGCUGAAACCAUCAGCAUCGCACAUAGAAUAUGCUGAAGGAUGGAAUAUUGAUUUUGCCCGUCCAGCCCAGAAACGAAAGUCAGACGUUUCAACUCCUGAGGAAAGUGCUACGAGAAAACUGCUGGAUGUUCCUCCACCAACUGUCUUUGUCUGAAUGCGGUGGAAGACCAGCAAUUUUGAGCAUUGUCCCUGACUAUGCUGCCAACUUUGGAUAUGUUGGUUUGUAAAUCCGAGAACUGCAGCAUCAAAGCAUUCCACAUGAAAUGUCUUGGCAUAAAAUGAGUUCCACAA
Long non-coding RNA from Syngnathus typhle (broad-nosed pipefish), 2627 nucleotides. RefSeq lists it as uncharacterized. The record is from RefSeq and is a predicted model, not a curated record. The transcript is spliced from 3 exons. Lineage: Eukaryota; Metazoa; Chordata; Actinopteri; Syngnathiformes; Syngnathidae.